GGGGAAUUUUCCGCAAUGGGCGCAAGCCUGACGGAGCAACGCCGCGUGAGGGAUGAAGGCCUCUGGGCUGUAAACCUCUUUUCUCAAGGAAGAAGAUCUGACGGUACUUGAGGAAUAAGCCACGGCUAAUUCCGUGCCAGCUGCCGCGGUAAUACGGGAGUGGCAAGCGUUAUCCGGAAUUAUUGGGCGUAAAGCGUCCGCAGGCGGCCUUGAAAGUCUGUUGUUAAAGCGUGGAGCUUAACUCCAUUUCAGCAAUGGAAACUACAAGGCUAGAGUGUGGUAGGAGCAGAGGGGAUUCCCGGUGUAGCGGUGAAAUGCGUAGAUAUCGGGAAGAACACUAGUGGCGAAGGCGCUCUGCUGGGCCAUAACUGACGCUCAUGGACGAAAGCCAGGGGAGCGAAAGGGAUUAGAUACCCCAGUAGUC
Molecule: ribosomal RNA, 424 nt
Filed under: uncultured cyanobacterium
Lineage: Bacteria; Bacillati; Cyanobacteriota
Description: bacterial SSU rRNA
Rfam family: Bacterial small subunit ribosomal RNA
Source: RNAcentral